RNAcentral lists this ribosomal RNA (253 nucleotides) under uncultured bacterium. Its description in RNAcentral is "partial 16S ribosomal RNA". It matches the Rfam family "Bacterial small subunit ribosomal RNA", at positions 524 to 776 of the family's 1533-position model. The record is from RNAcentral.
GACAGAGGGUGCAAACGUUGUUCGGAAUUACUGGGCGUAAAGCGCGUGUAGGCGGCUAUGUAAGUCGGGCGUGAAAUCCCACGGCUCAACCGUGGAAGUGCACCCGAAACUGCGUAGCUAGAGUCCUGGAGAGGAAGGUGGAAUGCUUGGUGUAGAGGUGAAAUUCGUAGAUAUCGGGAGGAACACCGGUGGCGAAGGCGGCGACCUGGGUAGAUACUGACGCUGAGGUGCGAAAGCGUGGGGAGCAAACAGG